GUGGGGAAUAUUGGACAAUGGGCGAAAGCCUGAUCCAGCCAUGCCGCGUGUGUGAAGAAGGUCUUCGGAUUGUAAAGCACUUUAAGUUGGGAGGAAGGGCAGUAAGUUAAUACCUUGCUGUUUUGACGUUACCGACAGAAUAAGCACCGGCUAACUUCGUGCCAGCAGCCGCGGUAAUACGAAGGGUGCAAGCGUUAAUCGGAAUUACUGGGCGUAAAGCGCGCGUAGGUGGUUUUGUAAGUUGGAGGUGAAAUCCCGGGCUCAACCUGGGAACUGCCUCCAAAACUGCAUGACUAGAGUACGGUAGAGGGUAGUGGAAUUUCCUGUGUAGCGGUGAAAUGCGUAGAUAUAGGAAGGAACACCAGUGGCGAAGGCGACUACCUGGACUGAUACUGACACUGAGGUGCGAAAGCGUGGGGAGCAAACAGGAUUAGAAACCCCUGUAGUCC
RNAcentral lists this ribosomal RNA (449 nucleotides) under uncultured bacterium. Its description in RNAcentral is "partial 16S ribosomal RNA". It matches the Rfam family "Bacterial small subunit ribosomal RNA", at positions 354 to 796 of the family's 1533-position model. The record is from RNAcentral.